CCACAGCUGCCUCCUCCCUAAGAAAUGAUUCUGCCUAAAUCCGGCUUUGUGUCCGACCCAGCACUGAGCCAGAGGGUAUCGCUGUCAAGUAUAACGUAGACUCCGCUUUAUUGUGGGGCACUGGUAUUUUGGGGAUUCUUGGUGUCUCGUGAGGUUUCCUGGGUCACUCUUCAUAAUGGUUAGUUCUGGGCCUGGUCUGGACGAACUGUCCAUCCUGUGGUCCUAGUUUGGGGUUUUUGAAGGACCAGCCCAAGAUUCUGGGGCCCAGGGAGCUCCAAGAUUUGAGACCCUAAUGGUAGGUUACAACUAAAAUGAUUUUGUCCCUGACAUUCGUGUCCUGAUUCCUAGGAACCAAGCUCUUGUAAAGAGGAAUCCCACCUGUAAGAUCGCCAGUCUGAAUGGCGAUCCCGGACCAGGGCUGCAGAGCAGAGGAGGGCGAGGCAGAGAAAGAGCAGACUGUAGAUUUGCAGGGCUAGUAGUAGUAUGUGAUCCUUGUGUUGUGCAAGCCACCCUUCAACCUUGACAACCUGAGUUCUGAGCCAGGUUUUAGGAGAGGUGAGUUAGGGCUAAGGCCAAAGGGCAAGCCUGCCAAGGAAAGCUCACUUCAUUUGCAGGUUUGAGAGAGGAUGGUCUGGGAGAAAGAAAUACCACCUACCACCAAGAAAAUUCUUUUUUUGGGGGGGGGUUGGUGACGGCAUUUUUCUUUUAUUGAAGUAUAGUUGACAUACAUUAUAUUGGUUUCAGGCGUACAACAUAGUAAUUUGACAAUUAUGUACAGUACAAAAUUCUCACCACGGCAGGUGUAGUUACCCUCUGUGGGUUACACUGGUUUUCAACCCACCAAGAAAAUUCUGAGACCUCUCUAACAGACUUUGAGGUCUUUCAAAUGCUCCACCCUUUUCAGAUCCUGAGGGGCCCUGAUGCCACAUGCGGCACUGACAGAUGUGUUGCAUCCUCUCCUCUGACUUCGCAGACUCAGAAAGUAGAGCAGGAAAGAACUUCUGGGUUACCUGUUUCUGCCUACAAUGAAAGAUGAAAAACACUGAGCCAGAGAGGCUCCACCUUUGUAGUUCCCUACAUGUUUCCUAGUUCCAUAGAAAAUGAAUAGAUCUCAGAGGAUGCGCAAGUAGGGGAGGGAAAGAGAGGAUCCAAAG
Herpailurus yagouaroundi (jaguarundi) is the source of this 1154-nucleotide long non-coding RNA. RefSeq lists it as uncharacterized. NCBI's taxonomy places the organism in Eukaryota, Metazoa, Chordata, Mammalia, Carnivora, Felidae. The transcript is spliced from 3 exons. The record is from RefSeq and is a predicted model, not a curated record.